UUAGAGGGACUAUCGGUUUGAAGCCGAAGGAAGUUUGAGGCAAUAACAGGUCUGUGAUGCCCUUAGACGUUCUGGGCCGCACGCGCGCUACACUGACGGAGCCAGCGAGUCUAACCUUGGCCGAGAGGUCUUGGGUAAUCUUGUGAAACUCCGUCGUGCUGGGGAUAGAGCCUUGUAAUUGUUGCUCUUGAACGAGGAAUUCCUAGUAAGCGCAAGUCAUCAGCUUGCGUUGAUUACGUCCCUG
RNAcentral lists this ribosomal RNA (244 nucleotides) under uncultured Cyniclomyces. RNAcentral's name for it is "partial 18S ribosomal RNA". It matches the Rfam family "Eukaryotic small subunit ribosomal RNA", at positions 1411 to 1655 of the family's 1831-position model. Lineage: Eukaryota; Fungi; Ascomycota; Saccharomycetes. The record is from RNAcentral.